Molecule: ribosomal RNA, 301 nt
Filed under: uncultured bacterium
Lineage: Bacteria
Description: partial 16S ribosomal RNA
Rfam family: Bacterial small subunit ribosomal RNA
Source: RNAcentral
CAGCAGCCACGGUAAUACGAAGGGGGCUAGCGUUGCUCGGAAUUACUGGGCGUAAAGGGAGCGUAGGCGGACAUUUAAGUCAGGGGUGAAAUCCCAGAGCUCAACUCUGGAACUGCCUUUGAUACUGGGUGUCUUGAGUGUGAUAGAGGUAUGUGGAACUCCGAGUGUAGAGGUGAAAUUCGUAGAUAUUCGGAAGAACACCAGUGGCGAAGGCGACAUACUGGAUCAUUACUGACGCUGAGGCUCGAAAGCGUGGGGAGCAAACAGGAUUAGAUACCCGUGUAGUCCCUGUCUCUUAUAC